GGGCCUGUAGCUCAGAUGGAUAGAGCAACGGUUUCCUAAACCGUGGGUCGGGAGUUCGAAUCUCCCCAGGCCUACCA
Molecule: transfer RNA, 77 nt
Filed under: Acidobacteriota bacterium
Lineage: Bacteria; Pseudomonadati; Acidobacteriota
Also listed under: 4 other names
Description: tRNA-Arg
Rfam family: tRNA
About the family: Transfer RNA (tRNA) molecules are approximately 80 nucleotides in length. Their secondary structure includes four short double-helical elements and three loops (D, anti-codon, and T loops).
Source: RNAcentral